Molecule: ribosomal RNA, 274 nt
Filed under: uncultured bacterium
Lineage: Bacteria
Description: partial 16S ribosomal RNA
Rfam family: Bacterial small subunit ribosomal RNA
Source: RNAcentral
ACACGGGGGGCGCAAGCGUUAUUCGGAAUUAUUGGGCGUAAAGGGCGCGUAGGCGGUUUUGUCGGUCAGAUGUGAAAGCCCGGGGCUCAACCCCGGACGUGCAUUUGAAACAGCAAGACUUGAGUACGGGAGAGGAAAGCGGAAUUCCUGGUGUAGAGGUGAAAUUCGUAGAUAUCAGGAGGAACACCGAUGGCGAAGGCAGCUUUCUGGACCGAUACUGACGCUGAGGCGCGAAGGCGUGGGUAGCGAACAGGAUUAGAAACCCGGGUAGUCC